Molecule: ribosomal RNA, 520 nt
Filed under: uncultured Glomus
Lineage: Eukaryota; Fungi; Glomeromycota; Glomeromycetes; Glomerales; Glomeraceae
Description: SSU rRNA
Rfam family: Eukaryotic small subunit ribosomal RNA
Source: RNAcentral
AGCAGCCGCGGUAAUUCCAGCUCCAAUAGCGUAUAUUAAAGUUGUUGCAGUUAAAAAGCUCGUAGUUGAAUUUCGGGGUCAGUAGGUUGGUCGUGCCACUGGUACGUACUGGCCUCACUGAUUCCUCCUUCCUGAUGAGCCGUAAUGCCAUUAAUUUGGUGUUGCGAGGAAUCUGGACUGUUACUUUGAAAAAAAUUAGAGUGUUUAAAGCAGGCUAACGCUUGAAUACAUUAGCAUGGAAUAAUGAAAUAGGACGUUCGAUCUUAUUUUGUUGGUUUCUAAGAUUGACGUAAUGAUUAAUAGGGAUAGUUGGGGGCAUUAGUAUUCAAUUGUCAGAGGUGAAAUUCUUGGAUUUAUUGAAGACUAACUACUGCGAAAGCAUUUGCCAAGGAUGUUUUCAUUAAUCAAGAACGAAAGUUAGGGGAUCGAAGACGAUCAGAUACCGUCGUAGUCUUAACCAUAAACUAUGCCGACUAGGAAUCAGACGAUGUUAAUUUUUAAUGACUCGUUUGGCACCUUA